RNAcentral lists this ribosomal RNA (422 nucleotides) under Escherichia coli. RNAcentral's name for it is "bacterial SSU rRNA". It matches the Rfam family "Bacterial small subunit ribosomal RNA", at positions 1104 to 1526 of the family's 1533-position model. Lineage: Bacteria; Pseudomonadati; Pseudomonadota; Gammaproteobacteria; Enterobacterales; Enterobacteriaceae. The record is from RNAcentral.
CUUAUCCUUUGUUGCCAGCGGUCCGGCCGGGAACUCAAAGGAGACUGCCAGUGAUAAACUGGAGGAAGGUGGGGAUGACGUCAAGUCAUCAUGGCCCUUACGACCAGGGCUACACACGUGCUACAAUGGCGCAUACAAAGAGAAGCGACCUCGCGAGAGCAAGCGGACCUCAUAAAGUGCGUCGUAGUCCGGAUUGGAGUCUGCAACUCGACUCCAUGAAGUCGGAAUCGCUAGUAAUCGUGGAUCAGAAUGCCACGGUGAAUACGUUCCCGGGCCUUGUACACACCGCCCGUCACACCAUGGGAGUGGGUUGCAAAAGAAGUAGGUAGCUUAACCUUCGGGAGGGCGCUUACCACUUUGUGAUUCAUGACUGGGGUGAAGUCGUAACAAGGUAACCGUAGGGGAACCUGCGGUUGGAUCAC